ACGUUUCAUUCUUCAUUACUGUUAGUGUGUGAAGGAGUGAAAUGUUCACUGUGUUUGGUAACUUUAACAACACGGCAUUCAGGGUUUAUUUUUAGUCCGUGAUUCAUGAUAAAUGUUUACAGGUCAGAGUUUUACCACUGAAUCAGAAACAUCGAAACCAGCUCUGUGUGAUCACAACACGAACAUGAACACACAAGAGAAAACAGGUCAGAUGUCUCAUAAUUUUAUAAUUCACAAUAAACUGCGUUCAUGGUUCAUAACAUUCUCAGAAGUGACCAGAUCUCUCCACUCCUCAGUGCUCGGUUUGGGAACGGCUUUGGGUUUGUGUGCACUUCUGAUUUUCUGUCUCAUUUAUUUCAUACUGAGGAGAAGAAAAUGGGAUAAAAUGAAGGCUUCAACAGAAGGUUCAGCAGGAACGAGGGAGGACUCUCAUGUCGACUCCUGGACUUACGCAGCUUUACAGUUUCCCAAGAAGGGAAGUGGAGUUUGUUUCUCAGACAAGUUGGUGUACUCUGAAAUGAUGUAUAUGAAACUGUAAAAUAUUAUACAACUGCGUCCUAUUUUCUUCUUAUUAUUAUUCCAUCAAAAUGAUUAUUAACAAUCUAUUACAUAAAAAAUGCAAAUCUGUACAUGACUGUAA
This is a long non-coding RNA of Neoarius graeffei (lesser salmon catfish), 640 nucleotides long. RefSeq lists it as uncharacterized. The record is from RefSeq and is a predicted model, not a curated record. Lineage: Eukaryota; Metazoa; Chordata; Actinopteri; Siluriformes; Ariidae. The transcript is spliced from 3 exons.